Molecule: ribosomal RNA, 1893 nt
Filed under: Triticum aestivum (bread wheat)
Lineage: Eukaryota; Viridiplantae; Streptophyta; Magnoliopsida; Poales; Poaceae
Description: partial small subunit ribosomal RNA
Source: RNAcentral
AUGGAGAACGGCAACACCUUCUCUUCCGGCAUCGGCAGGGACACUUUGCCCCAGGAAUUCUCCGUGGGGAUGAGGUUCCUCGUGGUGGAGGACGACCAGAACGACUUCGAGGACUUGACGCAAAUCCUCGAGAGGUGCGGCUACAAAGUGACGGCGAAAGCGUCACCGAGAGAAGCGCUGAAAGAGGUGGAGGAGAAGGGAGAGGAAUUUCACUUCGACAUCAUCAUGACUGUCAUGCAUGGUGGUGAAGGAGGAGCUGGAUUCGAUGGUUUUGACCUCCUCGAGUGCGUUCGGGACCGUUACCCGGUCAGAGUAUUCGAUAUGUCGCACAUAUAUGCAUGCAUGGUUACUGUAAGACUAAUAUCACCAUUCAAACUCAACUUGGCCACCAAAAACUACACCAAGUGGAAGCAUCUCUUUCAACUUGUGGACACCAAAUUCAACUGCCUUGACCUUAGCAUGAGCAUGAUCUUGCAUCUUGAGACAUCAAGUGGCACAAGGAAGAUCUCACGAUCAUCAUGUGGCUAUGCAACGAUAUCUAGUGAGCUAUACGAUGUGUACAUGUCAGCAGAGAACGCAACAUUUCAAGGUGACAUGAUCAUCGCCACCCACUACUGGUGCCUCAGGGUGCUCGUUCACUCUCUCGCCAAUGAUGAGAAACUGGUAACCUACAACCCUCUCACAUUGGUGAUGAUUUAUGGCCUCGGCCACAUAUUUCAGGGGGCACCAUGGCAAGUUCAGUCACAGGGCGCUAACACUGACAAAUGUACGGGAAACCAACUUCAACUAGCUAAUGUGGCAAAUCAAGGACCUUCAUGCAGCACGUGGCAUCAGGCGUUAACCAUGUACCUGCCAUCGACGUCAUACACAUGACCUUCAACUACAAUCAAUAGUGGCACGGGGACAUCUACUGCGGGGAGCUCUGAGCACACGGAAGACGCGUUCCACCAGCCAGCCAACAAUCAUGCCACAAACAAUGUCGAGUCAGUGUCGGAAAUGGAAAUCAUUCCAGCAAUGCCGACAAGCACACCUUUGAACACCAGCACAAGCAACACUAAAGUAGAUGAAGCUGCCGCCGAUAAUGAAGUGAAUGAUGAAACUGAUGAUGAAGCACAAGGGGAUGAAGAUGGUGGGCAAUCAGAAAUCAUGGUACCUCAGCCACCAUUCCAGGAAGAAAUAAAGCGUGCCAGCAUGUUCACGGCUUUCCAGGUGGACGAACAUACGUUCAAGGUGUGUUCUAUCUUGGGCAUGUCGGAUUCAGAACCUGAAGACCCGGACAAGGGAAGGAACUACUUCGUGAAAGCCUCGAUAAGCCAAGGCGAAUACUACUGCCAACGCUGCAAAUUUGAACGGGACGGCAUUGUGUGUUGUCACAUACUAAAAGUAAUGGACAUGAACACGGUGACACGAAUGCCCCGCCAUUUCAUAAGGUGGCGAUGGACUUGGGAUGCUGACGACGCAUUGGCGCCGCAAACAUCAAACGCAGUUUUGGCUGUGCAUGACGAGAGACCGGAGUCAACCAUGGAAGCCGUGAGGCACGUUGUGUUGACAAAGAACUAUGCUGAACUAAUUGAUGAAGCAUGCAAGAGUGAUGAGACAGCGAGGGUCACAGAAAAACACAGGAAGGCCCUGAAAAGAGAGCUUGAUGAGAUCAAGAAGAGGAAAGUUGAGAAAGCCUUACACAGGUUCCCCCGCACAUCAAGUGUGCCUUCGUCCACGGGGCCAUCAUAUGAAAACUCGGAGGUGGGAUCUGAAACAGCAAGCACACAAACCCAGGUUAGGAACCCGCCCCGUUCCAUCACAAAGGGGCAUCCAAAAGAGAUAAGAUACAAAUCGGGAUUGGAGAUUCAAGCAAAAGACAAGAAAACAAAGAAAGGGACGGGCAAUCCGUAA